UCUACGACAUGGUUUGGAUCAGCUAUCCUGGCUGUGCUCCCCCAGCUCCUUGUGCACCUGCUCACUGGCACAGCGUGGGACACUGGAAAGUCCUUGACGCAGGGAUUUCAGCCAGGAAACCAUUC
Non-coding RNA from Lonchura striata (white-rumped munia), 125 nucleotides. Lineage: Eukaryota; Metazoa; Chordata; Aves; Passeriformes; Estrildidae. The record is from RefSeq and is a predicted model, not a curated record.